AUUGAACGCUGGCGGCAGGCCUAACACAUGCAAGUCGAGCGGAUGAAGGGAGCUUGCUCCUGGAUUCAGCGGCGGACGGGUGCGUAAUGCCUAGGAAUCUGCCUGGUAGUGGGGGAUAACGUCCGGAAACGGGCGCUAAUACCGCAUACGUCCUGAGGGAGAAAGUGGGGGAUCUUCGGACCUCACGCUAUCAGAUGAGCCUAGGUCGGAUUAGCUAGUUGGUGGGGUAAAGGCCUACCAAGGCGACGAUCCGUAACUGGUCUGAGAGGAUGAUCAGUCACACUGGAACUGAGACACGGUCCAGACUCCUACGGGAGGCAGCAGUGGGGAAUAUUGGACAAUGGGCGAAAGCCUGAUCCAGCCAUGCCGCGUGUGUGAAGAAGGUCUUCGGAUUGUAAAGCACUUUAAGUGGGGAGGAAGGGAAGUAAGUUAAUACCUUGCUGUUUUGACGUUACCAACAGAAGAAGCACCGGCUAACUUCGUG
Molecule: ribosomal RNA, 484 nt
Filed under: uncultured bacterium
Lineage: Bacteria
Description: partial 16S ribosomal RNA
Rfam family: Bacterial small subunit ribosomal RNA
Source: RNAcentral